GGCUCCAGUAACACGUCGAUAACCUGCCCUUAAGUCUGGGAUAACCUUGGGAAACUGAGGAUAACACCGGAUAAGGAAAUCCUACUGGAAGGUGGAUUUCUUCAAAAGCAAUGCUUAAGGAUGGGUCGGCGGCGGAUUAGGUUGUUGGCGAGGUAAUGGCUCACCAAGCCGAAGAUCCGUAGGGGCCUUGAAAGAGGUAGCCCCGAGGAGGGCACUGAGAUACAGGCCCUAGCUCCACGGAGUGCAGCAGGCGCGAAACCUUCGCAAUGCACGCAAGUGUGACGAGGGAACCCUGAGCGAUAACGUUUUACGUUAUCUUUUGCCAAGAGCAAAUAUCUUGGCGAAUAAGUGGUGGGCAAUACCUGUGCCAGCCGCCGCGGUAACCCAGGAACCACAAGUGGCAACCACCUUUAUUUGGCCUAAAGCGUCCGUAGCCGGUUUUGUAAAUUUCCUGUGAAAUCGUUGCGCUUAACGUAACGACGCGCAGGAAAAACUGCAAGACUAGGGACCGGGAGGAGUCAGAGGUAUUUUGGGGGGAGCGGUAAAAUGCUAUAAUCCCCGAAGGACCACCUGUGGUGAAGACGUCUGACUAGAACGGAUUCGACGGUGAGGGACGAAAGCUAGGGGAGCAAUCCGGAUUAGAUACCCGAGUAGUCCUAGCCAUAAACUCUGCGAGUUAGGUGUUGCAUAAUCUUCGGGAUUGUGCAGUGUCGUAGUGAAGACGAUAAACUCGCCGCCUGGGA
Molecule: ribosomal RNA, 743 nt
Filed under: uncultured euryarchaeote
Lineage: Archaea; Methanobacteriati; Methanobacteriota
Description: bacterial SSU rRNA
Rfam family: Archaeal small subunit ribosomal RNA
Source: RNAcentral